RNAcentral lists this ribosomal RNA (440 nucleotides) under uncultured bacterium. Its description in RNAcentral is "partial 16S ribosomal RNA". It matches the Rfam family "Bacterial small subunit ribosomal RNA", at positions 338 to 795 of the family's 1533-position model. The record is from RNAcentral.
CCUACGGGAGGCAGCAGUGGGGAAUAUUGCGCAAUGGGGGAAACCCUGACGCAGCAACGCCGCGUGAGUGAAGAAGGCCUUCGGGUUGUAAAGCUCUUUAAUCAGGGACGAAGAAUGACGGUACCUGAAGAAUAAGCUCCGGCUAACUACGUGCCAGCAGCCGCGGUAAUACGUAGGGAGCGAGCGUUAUCCGGAUUUAUUGGGUUUAAAGGGUGCGCAGGCGGAAGAUCAAGUCAGCGGUAAAAUUGAGAGGCUCAACCUCUUCGAGCCGUUGAAACUGGUUUUCUUGAGUGAGCGAGAAGUAUGCGGAAUGCGUGGUGUAGCGGUGAAAUGCAUAGAUAUCACGCAGAACUCCGAUUGCGAAGGCAGCAUACCGGCGCUCAACUGACGCUCAUGCACGAAAGUGUGGGUAUCGAACAGGAUUAGAUACCCCAGUAGUC